Xyrichtys novacula (pearly razorfish) is the source of this 1422-nucleotide non-coding RNA. NCBI's taxonomy places the organism in Eukaryota, Metazoa, Chordata, Actinopteri, Labriformes, Labridae. The record is from the annotation of a GenBank genome assembly.
GGGGAUGGGGGAUGGGGGGGGGGAUGUGGAUUCUUUUAAGAAUGUGGAUAUUUGGGUCAUCUUUGGCGCCCCCUAGAACGUAAACCGUGGGGUGCAGCGUCAUGAUUUUUACAACUUUGAAUGGCCAUGGGGUGUAGAUUGGCCUGAGCAAAUUUGGUGUCAGUGGGACGAAAGCCUUAGGAGGAGUUAGCCACAUUCCAAUGUGUGCGAAUCGGCAAAAAAUGCAAAAUAGCCCUUUAACCGUAGUUUUUACAGAUACGCACCCAUUGACUUUUUCGUAGAUCUUAUUGAGAUACAUGUGAUUGUCAAAUUUUGUGUCAAUAUGACAAAGCGUACAGGCGUCACACUCAACAAUGUGAAUUUUCACCUUACGGGACAAGAAAAAAUUGACUUUUUUCUCCUGCCAUGGGGGGGCGCUCUUUUGGGGAGUAAAAAUUCCUUCACAAAUGUGUUGAUGGCUGGACAUUGCAUCAUCCUAGAAAACUUGGAGGCCAGUGAGGACAAAAAGAAAAAGUUAUAAGACUUUUAAGAAUGUGGAUUUUUGGGUUAUCUUUGGCGCCCCCUAGAACCUAAACCGUGGGGUGCAGCGUCAUGAUUUGUACAACUUUUAAUGGCCAUGGGGUGUAGAUUGGCCUGAGCAAAUUUGGUGCCGGUGGAACGAAAGCCUUCGGAGGAGUUAGCGAAAUUCCAAUGUGUGCGGAUCGGCAAAAAAUGCGAAAUAGCCCUUUAACCGUACAUUAUACAGAUACGUGCUCUCUGACUUUUUCGUAGAUCUUAUUGAGAUACACGUGUGUGUCAAAUUUUGUGUCAAUAUGACAAAGCGUUCAGGCGUGACACUCAACAAUGUGUAUUUUCACCUUACGGGACAAGAAAAAAUGGACUUUUUUCUCCUGCCAUGGGGGGGCGCUCUUUUGGGGAGUAAAAAUUUCUUCACAAAUGUGUUGAUGGCUGGACAUUGCAUCAUCCUAGAAAACUUGGAGGCCAGUGAGGACAAAAAUAAAAAGUUAUAAGACUUUUAAGACUGUGGAUUUUUGGGUUAUCUUUGGCGCCCCCUAGAAUGUAAACCGUGGGGUGCAGCGUCAUGAUUUGUACAACUUUUAAUGGCCAUGGGGUGUAGAUUGUCCUGAGCAAAUUUGUUGCUGGUGGAACGAAAGCCUUCGGAGGAGUUAGCGAAAUUCCAAUGUGUGCGGAUCGGCAAAAAAUGCGAAAUAGCCCUUUAACGGUACAUUUGACAGAUACGCCCACACUGACUUUUUUGUAGAUGUUAUUGAGAUACACAUGUGUGUCAAAUUUUGUGUCAUUUUGACAAAGCGUACAGGCGUCAGGUGAGUUUUCACCAUAGGGGGCGCUAUGGAGCCAUUUUUCAUUUUUUUGUUUGGGCGACUUCAGAAUAUCGAAUUUUUCACCAGGCCCGGUCGUCCU